RNAcentral lists this ribosomal RNA (527 nucleotides) under uncultured Lyngbya sp. Its description in RNAcentral is "bacterial SSU rRNA". It matches the Rfam family "Bacterial small subunit ribosomal RNA", at positions 217 to 759 of the family's 1533-position model. The record is from RNAcentral. Lineage: Bacteria; Bacillati; Cyanobacteriota; Cyanophyceae; Oscillatoriales; Microcoleaceae.
GCCUGAAGAUGAGCUCGCGUCUGAUUAGCUAGUUGGUGUGGUAAAGGCAUACCAAGGCAACGAUCAGUAGCUGGUCUGAGAGGAUGAGCAGCCACACUGGGACUGAGACACGGCCCAGACUCCUACGGGAGGCAGCAGUGGGGAAUUUUCCGCAAUGGGCGAAAGCCUGACGGAGCAAGACCGCGUGGGGGAGGAAGGCUCUAGGGUUGUAAACCCCUUUUCUUUGGGAAGAAGUUCUGACGGUACCAAAGGAAUCAGCCUCGGCUAACUCCGUGCCAGCAGCCGCGGUAAUACGGAGGAGGCAAGCGUUAUCCGGAAUGAUUGGGCGUAAAGCGUCCGCAGGUGGCCAUGUAAGUCUGCUGUCAAAACCCAGGGCUCAACUCUGGUCAGGCAGUGGAAACUACAUAGCUAGAGUCUGGUAGGGGCAAAGGGAAUUCCCGGUGUAGCGGUGAAAUGCGUAGAGAUCGGGAAGAACAUCCGUGGCGAAAGCGCUUUGCUAGACCAGAACUGACACUCACGGACGAAAG